AUGGCAACUUGCUUAUCAAACUUGAUUAGAGACUAUGGUUUAGAUUUUAUUGGUAUUCAGGAAACAAUGAAGAAAGAUUUUUCCUCUAAAUUCUUGAGGAAAAUUGAUCCAGGAGAGUACUUUGAUUGGAGGUGGAUCCCUUCAAUGGGAAAAUCUGGGGGAAUUUUGUGCAGUACUAAGAAAUAUACUUUUGAUUUUAGAUCCUGUGAGACAGGAAAAUAUAUCACGAAACUUGAGUUGUGGGAUAAGAGUAAAAAACUGAUUUAUUGUAUUCUAGUAGUAUAUGGAUCUUCUCAUGAAGAGUAUAAGGUGGAAUUUUUGGCUUAGUUGUUUGACAUGUGUAACAAUACUGCUUGCCCUUACAUUGUGGGGGGUGAUUUUAAUAUCCUUAGAUAUGCUAAGGAGAAAAAUAAGAAAACUAGGACAAGCCAUGCUACUGAUCUCCUUAUCUCCAGCAUUAAUACUUUCUGUCUUAGGGAAGUGGACAUGAAUGGUGGUAUGUACACUUGGUCUAAUAAUCAGCAAAAUCCUACCCUUGAAAAGUUGGAGCGUAUACUUAUGUCCAGUUCUAGAGAAAGGCAAUUUCCUUUGACUUUUGUCAGGAAAUUGGUUAAAGAGAUUUCAGAUCAUAGUCCUUUGAUCUUGAAUACUGAG
Molecule: ribosomal RNA, 654 nt
Filed under: Triticum aestivum (bread wheat)
Lineage: Eukaryota; Viridiplantae; Streptophyta; Magnoliopsida; Poales; Poaceae
Description: partial small subunit ribosomal RNA
Source: RNAcentral